GACGAACGCUGGCGGCGUGCUUAACACAUGCAAGUCGAACGGAAAGGCCCUGCUUGCCGGGUACUCUAGUGGCGAACGGGUGAGUAACACGUGGGUGAUCUGCCCUGCACUUCGGGAUAAGCCUGGGAAACUGGGUCUAAUACCGGAUAGGAGCCAUUUUUAGUGUGAUGGUUGGAAAGUUUUUUCGGUGUAGGAUGAGCUCGCGGCCUAUCAGCUUGUUGGUGGGGUGAUGGCGUACCAAGGCGGCGAGGGGUAGCCGGCCUGAGAGGGUGGACGGCCACAUUGGGACUGAGAUACGGCCCAGACUCCUACGGGAGGCAGCAGUGGGGAAUAUUGCACAAUGGGCGCAAGCCUGAUGCAGCGACGCCGCGUGGGGGAGGACGGCCUUCGGGUUGUAAACUCCUUUCGCUAGGGACGAAGCUUUUUGUGACGGUACCUAGAUAAGAAGCACCGGCUAACUACGUG
This 465-nucleotide ribosomal RNA is filed under the name uncultured bacterium. RNAcentral describes it as "partial 16S ribosomal RNA". It matches the Rfam family "Bacterial small subunit ribosomal RNA", at positions 28 to 507 of the family's 1533-position model. The record is from RNAcentral.